GCUGAUAUAGCUCAGUUGGUAGAGCGCACCUUGGUAGGUGAGGUCGGCAGUUUCGAAUUCGCCUAUCAAAGCA
RNAcentral lists this transfer RNA (73 nucleotides) under Salmonella enterica subsp. enterica. RNAcentral describes it as "tRNA-OTHER". Lineage: Bacteria; Pseudomonadati; Pseudomonadota; Gammaproteobacteria; Enterobacterales; Enterobacteriaceae. The record is from RNAcentral.